GGGGAUUUAGCUCAGUGGUUAGAGCACCUGCCUGGCAAGCACAAGGUCCCGAGUUCGAUCCCCGGUACCA
RNAcentral lists this transfer RNA (70 nucleotides) under Heterocephalus glaber (naked mole-rat). It matches the Rfam family "tRNA". From Rfam's summary of the family: Transfer RNA (tRNA) molecules are approximately 80 nucleotides in length. Their secondary structure includes four short double-helical elements and three loops (D, anti-codon, and T loops). The record is from Rfam by way of RNAcentral. Lineage: Eukaryota; Metazoa; Chordata; Mammalia; Rodentia; Bathyergidae.